RNAcentral lists this ribosomal RNA (388 nucleotides) under uncultured bacterium. Its description in RNAcentral is "bacterial SSU rRNA". It matches the Rfam family "Bacterial small subunit ribosomal RNA", at positions 29 to 416 of the family's 1533-position model. The record is from RNAcentral.
AUUGAACGCUGGCGGCGUGCUUAACACAUGCAAGUCGAGCGGUAACAGGCGUAGCAAUACGUGCUGACGAGCGGCGAACGGGUGCGUAAUACAUGGGAAUCUGCCGUAGUAGUGGGGAAUAACCCGGCGAAAGCCGGGCUAAUGCCGCAUACGAUCCACGGAUGAAAGCGGGGGACCUUCGGGCCUCGCGCUAUUGGAUGAGCCCAUGUCGGAUUAGCUAGNGGUGAGGUAACGGCUCACCAAGGCGACGAUCCGUAGCUGGUCUGAGAGGACGGCCAGCCACACUGGGACUGAGACACGGCCCAGACUCCUACGGGAGGCAGCAGUGGGGAAUCUUGCGCAAUGGGCGAAAGCCUGACGCAGCGACGCCGCGUGAGGGAUGACGGCC